CCUACGGGAGGCAGCAGUGAGGAAUAUUGGUCAAUGGGCGAGAGCCUGAACCAGCCAAGUCGCGUGAGGGAAGACGGUCCUAUGGAUUGUAAACCUCUUUUGCCGGGGAGCAAAAAGCGGUACGCGUACCGCAUCGAGAGUACCCGGAGAAAAAGCAUCGGCUAACUCCGUGCCAGCAGCCGCGGUAAUACGGAGGAUGCGAGCGUUAUCCGGAUUUAUUGGGUUUAAAGGGUGCGCAGGCGGCGAGUUAAGUCAGCGGUAAAAUUUCGGGGCUCAACCCCGACAAGCCGUUGAAACUGGCUGGCUAGAGUGGGAGAGAAGUAUGCGGAAUGCGUGGUGUAGCGGUGAAAUGCAUAGAUAUCGCGCAGAACUCCGAUUGCGAAGGCAGCAUACCGGCGCCCAACUGACGCUCAGGCACGAAAGCGUGGGUAUCGAACAGGAUUAGAUACCCGGGUAGUC
RNAcentral lists this ribosomal RNA (459 nucleotides) under uncultured bacterium. RNAcentral's name for it is "partial 16S ribosomal RNA". It matches the Rfam family "Bacterial small subunit ribosomal RNA", at positions 338 to 795 of the family's 1533-position model. The record is from RNAcentral.